RNAcentral lists this ribosomal RNA (497 nucleotides) under uncultured bacterium. RNAcentral describes it as "partial 16S ribosomal RNA". It matches the Rfam family "Bacterial small subunit ribosomal RNA", at positions 28 to 507 of the family's 1533-position model. The record is from RNAcentral.
GAUGAACGCUGGCGGCGUGCCUAAUACAUGCAAGUCGAGCGAACGGACGAGAAGCUUGCUUCUCUGAUGUUAGCGGCGGACGGGUGAGUAACACGUGGAUAACCUACCUAUAAGACUGGGAUAACUUCGGGAAACCGGAGCUAAUACCGGAUAAUAUUUUGAACCGCAUGGUUCAAAAGUGAAAGACGGUCUUGCUGUCACUUAUAGAUGGAUCCGCGCUGCAUUAGCUAGUUGGUAAGGUAACGGCUUACCAAGGCAACGAUGCAUAGCCGACCUGAGAGGGGGAUCGGCCACACUGGAACUGAGACACGGUCCAGACUCCUACGGGAGGCAGCAGUAGGGAAUCUUACGCAAUGGGCGAAAGCCUGACGGAGCAACGCCGCGGGAGUGAUGAAGGUCUUCGGAUCGUAAAACUCUGUUAUUAGGGAAGAACAUAUGUGUAAGUAACUGUGCACAUCUUGACGGUACCUAAUCAGAAAGCCACGGCUAACUACGUG